This 293-nucleotide ribosomal RNA is filed under the name uncultured bacterium. RNAcentral's name for it is "partial 16S ribosomal RNA". It matches the Rfam family "Archaeal small subunit ribosomal RNA", at positions 455 to 747 of the family's 1478-position model. The record is from RNAcentral.
GUGCCAGCCGCCGCGGUAAUACCGGCAGCCCGAGUGAUGGCCGAUCUUAUUGGGCCUAAAGCGUCCGUAGCUGGCCGCGCAAGUCCAUCGGAAAAUCCACCCGCCCAACGGGUGGGCGUCCGGUGGAAACUGCGUGGCUUGGGACCGGAAGGCGCGACGGGUACGCCCGGGGUAGGAGUGAAAUCCCGUAAUCCUGGACGGACCGCCGAUGGCGAAAGCACGUCGCGAAGACGGAUCCGACAGUGAGGGACGAAAGCUAGGGUCUCGAACCGGAUUAGAUACCCCGGUAGUCC